Molecule: ribosomal RNA, 255 nt
Filed under: uncultured bacterium
Lineage: Bacteria
Description: partial 16S ribosomal RNA
Rfam family: Bacterial small subunit ribosomal RNA
Source: RNAcentral
UACGUAGGGGGGCGAGCGUUGUCCGGAUUUAUUGGGCGUAAAGAGCGUGUAGGCGGCCAGGUAGGUCCGUUGUGAAAACUCGAGGCUCAACCUCGAGACGUCGGCGGAAACCCUCUGGCUAGAGUCCGGAAGAGGAGAGUGGAAUUCCUGGGUGUAGCGGUGAAAUGCGCAGAUAUCAGGAAGAACACCCGUGGCGAAGGCGGCUCUCUGGGACGGUACUGACGCUGAGACGCGAAAGCGUGGGGAGCAAACAGG